This 370-nucleotide ribosomal RNA is filed under the name uncultured organism. RNAcentral describes it as "bacterial SSU rRNA". It matches the Rfam family "Bacterial small subunit ribosomal RNA", at positions 526 to 896 of the family's 1533-position model. The record is from RNAcentral.
CGUAGGGUGCGAGCGUUAAUCGGAAUUACUGGGCGUAAAGCGUGCGCAGGCGGUUUUGUAUGACAGAUGUGAAAUCCCCGGGCUCAACCUGGGACCUGCAUUUGUGACUGCAAGGCUAGAGUACGGUAGAGGGGGAUGGAAUUCCGCGUGUAGCAGUGAAAUGCGUAGAUAUGCGGAGGAACACCGAUGGCGAAGGCAAUCCCCUGGACCUGUACUGACGCUCAUGCACGAAAGCGUGGGGAGCAAACAGGAUUAGAUACCCUGGUAGUCCACGCCCUAAACGAUGUCAACUGGUUGUUGGGUCUUUACUGACUCAGUAACGAAGCUAACGCGUGAAGUUGACCGCCUGGGGAGUACGGCCGCAAGGUUG